AGAGUUUGAUCAUGGCUCAGGAUGAACGCUGGCGGCGUGCCUAAUACAUGCAAGUCGAGCGCGAAGAUCAGGAGCUUGCUCCUGUGAUUUGAGCGGCGGACGGGUGAGUAACACGUAGGCAACCUACCCUUGAGAUUGGGAUAACUACCGGAAACGGUAGCUAAUACCGGAUACGACUUUUCCACAUAAGUGGAACUGUUAAAAGGCGGAUUUAUCUGCCGCUCAUGGAUGGGCCUGCGGUGCAUUAGCUAGUUGGUGAGAUAGUAGCUCACCAAGGCGACGAUGCAUAGCCGACCUGAGAGGGUGAUCGGCCACACUGGGACUGAGACACGGCCCAGACUCCUACGGGAGGCAGCAGUAGGGAAUCUUCCGCAAUGGACGAAAGUCUGACGGAGCAACGCCGCGUGAGUGAUGAAGGGUUUCGGCUCGUAAAACUCUGUUGUUAAGGAAGAACACUUGAGGUAGUAACUGGCCUUGAGAUGACGGUACUUAACCAGAAAGCCACGGCUAACUACGUGCCAGCAGCCGCGGUAAU
RNAcentral lists this ribosomal RNA (535 nucleotides) under uncultured bacterium. RNAcentral's name for it is "bacterial SSU rRNA". It matches the Rfam family "Bacterial small subunit ribosomal RNA", at positions 8 to 524 of the family's 1533-position model. The record is from RNAcentral.